RNAcentral lists this ribosomal RNA (245 nucleotides) under uncultured bacterium. RNAcentral describes it as "partial 16S ribosomal RNA". It matches the Rfam family "Bacterial small subunit ribosomal RNA", at positions 524 to 768 of the family's 1533-position model. The record is from RNAcentral.
UACGAAGGGGGCUAGCGUUGCUCGGAAUCACUGGGCGUAAAGCGCACGUAGGCGGAUUGCUAAGUCAGGGGUGAAAUCCUGGAGCUCAACUCCAGAACUGCCUUUGAUACUGGCGAUCUCGAGUCCGGGAGAGGUGAGUGGAACUGCGAGUGUAGAGGUGAAAUUCGUAGAUAUUCGCAAGAACACCAGUGGCGAAGGCGGCUCACUGGCCCGGUAUGACGCUGAGGUGCGAAAAGCGUGGGGAG